This 497-nucleotide ribosomal RNA is filed under the name uncultured bacterium. Its description in RNAcentral is "partial 16S ribosomal RNA". It matches the Rfam family "Bacterial small subunit ribosomal RNA", at positions 28 to 507 of the family's 1533-position model. The record is from RNAcentral.
GAUGAACGCUGGCGGCGUGCCUAAUACAUGCAAGUCGAGCGAACAGACGAGGAGCUUGCUCCUCUGACGUUAGCGGCGGACGGGUGAGUAACACGUGGAUAACCUACCUAUAAGACUGGGAUAACUUCGGGAAACCGGAGCUAAUACCGGAUAAUAUAUUGAACCGCAUGGUUCAAUAGUGAAAGACGGUUUUGCUGUCACUUAUAGAUGGAUCCGCGCCGCAUUAGCUAGUUGGUAAGGUAACGGCUUACCAAGGCAACGAUGCGUAGCCGACCUGAGAGGGUGAUCGCCCACACUGGAACUGAGACACGGUCCAGACUCCUACGGGAGGCAGCAGUAGGGAAUCUUCCGCAAUGGGCGAAAGCCUGACGGCGCAACGCCGCGUGAGUGAUGAAGGUCUUCGGAUCGUAAAACUCUGUUAUUAGGGAAGAACAAAUGUGUAAGUAACUAUGCACGUCUUGACGGUACCUAAUCAGAAAGCCACGGCUAACUACGUG